This 378-nucleotide long non-coding RNA is filed under the name Pan troglodytes (chimpanzee). RNAcentral's name for it is "long non-coding RNA NONPTRT005930". Lineage: Eukaryota; Metazoa; Chordata; Mammalia; Primates; Hominidae. The record is from RNAcentral.
CAGCCCUGCAAGAACCAUCUGCUGGAGGCGAGCAGAGGCUGCCUCCUUUGAACGGGACCUGUACCCUCCACUCCCCUACCGCUGCACCACACCAGUCCAUCAUCACACUUAUGAUGUCAUCUUCUCAGAGGCAACCCGUAAACCCCUUGGGGCCCAGAGGCCAUGCCUCACUCGACAGCUCGGGAGAGCCGGGCACAGGGGCAGAAGCGACUUGCCGAGGUCGUGCAGUGACAUGGAGCCACAGCCUGGCUUCCUGACACCCCUUCUGCCUUACCAGGCUGAUGCACAGGUUUGCCAUGUGGGAAUUCCCCAGGCCCACCCUGCUGCCAUGCCCUGGUACCCUGUAAUCUGGAGGCAUGUGGGUGCCUGUCACCCAAG